Oncorhynchus keta (chum salmon) is the source of this 4097-nucleotide long non-coding RNA. RefSeq lists it as uncharacterized. The transcript has 2 exons. NCBI's taxonomy places the organism in Eukaryota, Metazoa, Chordata, Actinopteri, Salmoniformes, Salmonidae. The record is from RefSeq and is a predicted model, not a curated record.
UCCUUCAUAUGUGGGAGUGCCCUGCAGUUAAAUGCUUUGAAUCUACUAUGUUACUUAACGAUGAUAGCCCAUUGAAUAUCUCAAUACAUUUUUCCUUGUCUCUGUGGGGUAAAAGCUAAACGGUGAUUACUUUCACAUUGCCCACAUUUGGAAGCUCCAGCGAGAGUAGGUUGUGGAAGGUCUUCAAUUAUUUGUCAAUUAAACACAUUUUUAUUUGUAACCUUCAUUUACGGCCUACCCCGGUCAAACCCUCCCCUAACCCGUACAACGCUGGGCCAACUAAGUCAAUUAAACUUAUGACAAAAUAUGUCAGCCAGAUAUUAAAGUAUGACUGUAAUCACUAUAACAAAUGCAACACAGUACUGUCUUUUAACGUUAGCUAGCUAAGGUGGGAGUGGCUAAGGACUUAACCGUAAAUUUAGCCCAAAGACCGGCAGCUGGCGAUAUUGAGUGAGAUUGUCAGUCAUAUUGGUCAAAUUAAACGACGCAAUGUCACCAUCUGCCGGCCUAUGGUCUACCGUCAACAUUUGGACCAACGUUGACCAUUAAGUCCUGAGGUACUCCCACAAUAGCUAGCGACAAUCUUUAGCUAAUGUUUGUGUGAGAGAUGUAACGGGCAAGCUAGCAGCACAUCCACAUUACCAAGGGACUGAGGUCAACACUGUUGAACAACAUCACAGCCUCUUGAAUGACAAAUCCUCAGUGUCAUCAGCAUCCGAUUCCAUCAACAAGGCACCAUUUGUUAGGCCAGUGAAAUUCCACUUCAUGGAUUUAUGGACUGUGGAAGAACCAGCCUUUAGUAAAUGCCUCUGACAGCAUUUUGACCUUGUCGGCCAACUGUGAAACAGCUUAGGCCUGUUGGAGCUGUCACAGAAAGGUUAUGAACUUUGUUUCAGCCAGACUACCAGAACAGAGGGUGGUGCGGCGUGCACAACGCAUCACCGGGGGCAAACUACCUGCCCUCCAGGACAGCUACAGCACCUGAUGUCACAGGAAGACCAAAAAGAACAUCAAGGACAACAACCACCCGAACCACUGCCUGUUCACCCCUCUACCACCCAGAAGGUGAGAUCAGUACAGGUGCAUCAAAGCUGGGACCGUGAGACUGAAAAACAGCUUCUAUCUCAAGGCCAUCAGACUGUUAAACAGCCAUCACUAGCACAGAGGCUGCUGCCUAUGUACAAACUUGAAAUCAUUGGCCACUUUAAUAAAUGGAACACCAGUCACUUUAAUAAUGUUUACAUAUCUUGCAUUACUCAUCUCAUAUGUAUAGGUAUUCUAUACUAUCUAUUGCAUUUUAUCCUAUGCCGUUCUGACAUUGCUCAUCCAUAUAUUUAUAUAUUUUUAUUCCAUUCCUUUACUUAGAUUUGUGUGUAUUCGGUAUUUGUUGUGGAAUUGUUAGAUAUUGCUGCACUGUCGGAACUAGGAGCACAAGCAUUUCGCUGCAAUCGCAAUAACAUUUGCUAACCGUGUGUAUGUGACCAAAUACAAUUUUAUUUUAUUUUAUUUUACAUAUUUGAACUUCUUUGGCAAAUAUGUCCUUUUGGCUCCAGGGCCGGAGUUUUCCCUUUGACAAAGCCUGCCUACUUGACAUCUUUAAGAUGUGGUCCUCGGAUGGGGCCACAGUGUCUCCUGACCCCUCCUGUCUCAGCCUCCAGUAUUUAUGCUGCAGUAGUUUAUGUGUCGGGGGGCUAGGGUCAGUUUGUUAUAUCUGGAGUACUUCUCCUGUCCUAUUCGGUGUCCUGUGUGAAUCUAAGUGUGCGUUCUCUAAUUCUCUCCUUCUCUCUUUCUUUCUCUCUCUCGGAGGACCUGAGCCCUAGGACCAUGCCCCAGGACUACCUGACAUGAUGACUCCUUGCUGUCCCCAGUCCACCUGGCCAUGCUGCUGCUCCAGUUUCAACUGGCCUGGGCCCUAGGACCAUGUCCCAGGACUACCUGACAUGAUGACUCCUUGCUGUCCCCAGUCCACCUGGCCAUGCUGCUGCUCCAGUUUCAACUGUUCUGCCUUACUAUUAUUCAACCAUGCUGGUCAUUUAUGAACAUUUGAACAUCUUGGCCACGUUCUGUAAUAAUCUCCACCCGGCACAGCCAGAAGAGGACUGGCCACCCCACAUAUGCUCUCUCUAAUUCUCUCUUUCUUUCUCUCUUUCGGAGGACCUGAGCCCUAGGACCGUGCCCCAGGACUACCUGACAUGAUGGCUCCUUGCUGUCCCCAGUCCACCUGACUGUGCUGCUGCUCCAGUUUCAACUGUUCUGCCUUAUUAUUAUUCGACCAUGCUGGUCAUUUAUGAACAUUUGAACAUCUUGGUCAUGUUCUAUUAUAAUCUCUACCCGGCACAGCCAGAAGAGGACUGGCCACCCCACAUAGCCCGGUUCCUCUCUAGGUUUCUUCCUAGGUUUUGGCCUUUCUAGGGAGUUUUUCCUAGCCACCGUGCUUUUACACCUGCAUUGUUUUCUGUUUGGGGUUUUAGGCUGGGUUUCUGUACAGCACUUUGAGAUAUCAGCUGAUGUACGAAGGGCUAUAUAAAUACAUUUGAUUUGAUUUGAUUUAAGUUAUUGUACCAUCUUCCAUCAUACCAUCAUGUUACUGUCCUCUGGAAAAUGUGGUAUGUGGUUCAGAACACUUGAUAAUAAAUAGACCUUACCAAGACUGUACUGUAUACAUUAUAUGAAAGGACUAGAACAAGUAUUAAUGUAUUCAAAAUAUGAAAAUAAGUUUGAAAUGGGCUUGUUUGAACCCUGAGGUUUGUUAACCGUCGCUGUCAGAUUUUAAGGUUUUGAAGAGGCAUAAAAUAAAUUCUCCCUAUGAUGUAAUCUCAAGCAUUUCUAGUUGGGAAACGAUUUCAUCACUUGUGUCAUGGAUUUAUAUUGACUGAAAUAUGACACGUUUGGAAGUUGUGAUCACCUGAAUGAUGCCUCCAAAUAGUUGCGUUGACCAUGGUCCGACUCUCCCUGGAGGCUUGCCAUUUGGCAGAUCCGUAAGAGAAAUAAAUAUUUGGAAUCGAAAAGGAUCUCAGGAUUAUUUGUCCGACAUACUCCCAAAAAACAAACACUAUUUACAUGUACAAACUUUGGCACUGUGACACGUGACAUACUUGAACUUCAAAGUCGGAUUGUAAAGGUGGAGUUGUCAGUGUACUUUAACAUUAGUACUCCUUGCAUGAUGUAAACUUUGUAACUAACUUAAGUGGGUGUGUGUGGAAUUAUUAUUCUAUGGCUAAUCAUAUUUUGUAAUAUAUUCCAUUGUAUAUCUUGUUCCAUUUGAUGUUGGGUAUUGACAAUCGAGUGUGCAUUUCCAAAAAUGUCCCAACAACUUGGGAACCAAAGCAACAGGACAACAUUUUUUUUUUCUUUAUAAUCAUCUGCAAUUCGUAGAUUUCAGAAAUCUGCAGAGAAGUAAAACAAUUUUAAAAAAGGUGAGGUACUAUCAGGCUUUUCCUCAAAUUGUGUGCAACAAGAUGAAUAUAUAAGACAUUUCUGUUUUGUAUUUUAUUUACAUUUUUAUAAUCUGCAAUUAGUGGAUUUUCAUUUCUGUUUACACUUCAAAAAGUUGCAUUGCAUCCUCUUAGUCUUGUUGCAAAGUUUGGGAAUACGAGGACCACAUCUACAGUUGAAGUCUGAAGUUUACAUACACCUUAGCCAAAUAUUUCAAAAUAAAUAAAAUAUGAAAUAAAUCAUUCUCUCUACUAUCAUUCUGACAUUUCACGUUCUUAAAAUUAAAGUGGUGAUCCUAACUGACCUAAGACAGGGAAUUUUUACUCUGAUUAAAUGUCAGGAAUUGUGAAAAACUGAGUUUAAAUGUAUUUGGCUAAGGUGUAUGUAAACUUCCGACUUCAACUGUAGAAUUGCUGGGACAUUAUCAUUCAAUUGCAUUUGACAUCUCAUGUUUUGUCUGAGAAAAGCUUCACUGUUGUGCUACAGGUACUGCCUCCAAAGUGCAAACCAAGCGCUAUGGGCACACUUUCUUGCUUCUAGGACAGGAACUUGUGAGAAAACAAUGAAUGAUAUGUGGGGAAAACAGAUACCCAGACAGGUUAGAUUAGAAGAAUUGAUUCCAAAUGAUUUACCUUCUAAUUAAAAGUCUCCUUGUCCUGGUA